UGCCGGGGUGGCGGAACUGGCAGACGCACAGGACUUAAAAUCCUGCGGUGAGUGAUCACCGUACCGGUUCGAUUCCGGUCCUCGGCACCAU
RNAcentral lists this transfer RNA (91 nucleotides) under Staphylococcus aureus subsp. aureus Mu3. Its description in RNAcentral is "tRNA-Leu". It matches the Rfam family "tRNA". From Rfam's summary of the family: Transfer RNA (tRNA) molecules are approximately 80 nucleotides in length. Their secondary structure includes four short double-helical elements and three loops (D, anti-codon, and T loops). Lineage: Bacteria; Bacillati; Bacillota; Bacilli; Caryophanales; Staphylococcaceae. The record is from RNAcentral. RNAcentral also lists the same sequence under 2 other names.